CAGGACGGAAAGACCCCAUGGAGCUUUACUGCAGUUUGAUAUUGAGUAUCUGUACCACAUGUACAGGAUAGGUAGGAGCCAUUGACUUCGGGACGCCAGUUUCGAAUGAGGCGUUGUUGGGAUACUACCCUUGUGUUAUGGCUACUCUAACCCAGAUAGGUUAUCCCUAUCGGAGACAGUGUCUGACGGGCAGUUUGACUGGGGCGGUCGCCUCCUAAAGAGUAACGGAGGCGCCCAAAGGUUCCCUCAGAUUGGUUGGAAAUCAAUCGCAGAGUGUAAAGGUAUAAGGGAGCUUGACUGCGAGAGCUACAACUCGAGCAGGGACGAAAGUCGGGCUUAGUGAUCCGGUGGUACCGAAUGGAAGGGCCAUCGCUCA
RNAcentral lists this ribosomal RNA (376 nucleotides) under Escherichia coli. RNAcentral's name for it is "bacterial LSU rRNA". It matches the Rfam family "Bacterial large subunit ribosomal RNA", at positions 2076 to 2451 of the family's 2925-position model. Lineage: Bacteria; Pseudomonadati; Pseudomonadota; Gammaproteobacteria; Enterobacterales; Enterobacteriaceae. The record is from RNAcentral.